AGUCACCACAUGCCAAGGCCCAGAAAUUUUCCAUUUCACUGAUAAGCCUUCUUUCACAUCCCAAAAAGGAGUUUCAGCUAAAGAAACAAAGAAUCUAUCUGCCAAAAUACCUUUCCAAAUUAUGCUCAAUAAUCUCAGAAGCAAAAAACAAGCCCUAUUGAAAAAACAGAACCAGUUCAUCUGGGAAGAAUCUCUACAGAGAACAAAACAAAGGCAGGGAUAAGAGAAACUCAAAACUGCUGCUGGAAGAAAAACGAGCAAGGACUUCUGGAAACAAGAGUUUAGGAAGGAGAAGUAAUUUGCAG
RNAcentral lists this long non-coding RNA (305 nucleotides) under Taeniopygia guttata (zebra finch). RNAcentral's name for it is "lncRNA (ENSTGUG00000022817.1)". Lineage: Eukaryota; Metazoa; Chordata; Aves; Passeriformes; Estrildidae. The record is from RNAcentral.